CGGACGGGUGAGUAACACGUGGAUAACCUACCUAUAAGACUGGGAUAACUUCGGGAAACCGGAGCUAAUACCGGAUAAUAUAUUGAACCGCAUGGUUCAAUAGUGAAAGACGGUUUUGCUGUCACUUAUAGAUGGAUCCGCGCCGCAUUAGCUAGUUGGUAAGGUAACGGCUUACCAAGGCAACGAUGCGUAGCCGACCUGAGAGGGUGAUCGGCCACACUGGAACUGAGACACGGUCCAGACUCCUACGGGAGGCAGCAGAG
Molecule: ribosomal RNA, 263 nt
Filed under: uncultured Staphylococcus sp.
Lineage: Bacteria; Bacillati; Bacillota; Bacilli; Caryophanales; Staphylococcaceae
Description: partial 16S ribosomal RNA
Rfam family: Bacterial small subunit ribosomal RNA
Source: RNAcentral